GACGAACGCUGGCGGCGUGCUUAACACAUGCAAGUCGAACGGAAAGGCCUGCUUUCCCUUGUGGAUUGCGGGUACUCGAGUGGCGAACGGGUGAGUAACACGUGAGUGAUCUGCCCCCAACUUGGGUAUAAGCCUGGGAAACUGGGUCUAAUUCCCGAUAGGACUGCAGGGUGGUGCCUGUGGUGGAAAACGAUGUUCUAGUGGUUGGGGAUGAGCGCGCGGCCUAUGAGCUUGUUGGUGGGGUAAUGGCCUACCAAGGCGGCGACGGGUAGCCGGCGUGAGGGGGCGGACCUGCCCGGUGGGACUGCGAUACGGCCCCGACUCCUACGGGCGGCAGCAGUGGGGAAGAUUGCACGAUGGACAGAGGCCUGGUGGAGCGACGCCGAGUGGGGGAUGCCGGGCUUCGGGUUGUAAACUCCUUUCGGCCGCGAGGAAGCCACCUGGUUGGAAGGGUAGUGACGGUAGUGGUAGAAGAAGCACCGGCUAACUACGUG
Molecule: ribosomal RNA, 494 nt
Filed under: uncultured bacterium
Lineage: Bacteria
Description: partial 16S ribosomal RNA
Rfam family: Bacterial small subunit ribosomal RNA
Source: RNAcentral